Molecule: long non-coding RNA, 1232 nt
Filed under: Ictidomys tridecemlineatus (thirteen-lined ground squirrel)
Lineage: Eukaryota; Metazoa; Chordata; Mammalia; Rodentia; Sciuridae
Description: lncRNA (ENSSTOG00000034238.1)
Source: RNAcentral
UUAAACAAGAUCAUAAUAAACACUUUGGAAAAACUUGAAACGAAUAAAGGAAAGGACUCUCCACACAAAGAUGGCUAUGGUAGGCUCUGCCCUGCCAGGAUAAGACUGGAUUUUCCCUCUCAGUGUUCUCACAAAAUUCUGUGCUCAAAGAGACAGUGGAUGUUUGAAGACCAAGAAGCUACUGAUGAAAAGGUGAAAAUAUUGAGAAGAGUGUUUAUCCUCUUGAACUUUGGAAGCUCUGACCAUGGAUAGUAUGUUCUUAUCACCAGAAAAUCUGGGACAAGGCUAACUUAACCUUGGAAUCAAUAGUGUCACAGACCCUGUCUCUAAAGUGAGGGCUUCAUCUGAUUUGUUGACAUUCACUGGCAGCAGCCCCAGACCAUUUCCUAUGAGAGGGUCUGUUUUGAUACACAGGAAUUGGGGCUGGAAAUAUAAUUCAAUGGUAGAGUGCUCACCUUGCAUGCCCAAGGCCCUUUAUUCCAUUCCCAGCACCACGAAACUAAAAUAAAAUAUAGGCACUAAAGACCCUUCUCAAAACUGCAGACUGCUUGGACAGUGGCUUUCAACUCUGUAUCAGAAUCUGCUGGAAGCUUGUUCAGAGAAUGCUGGCUAGCCCACGCGUCCAGUUUCAGACUCAGUGCAUCCGAGAGGGAGCCGAGACAUUUGUAAUUCUCACAAAUUUGGGGUCAUGCUGAUGCUAAUGGUCUGGGCAUCUCGAGGAACAUUGUUAUAGCCAUUAAUUCUGCUCUGCAAUCAAGACUUUUGGACUCUCACAGCUGUGAUAAAAUAUGAAUUCUUUACUUUAGUUCUACCUUGGAGAGAAAAGGCUUAGCCAUUUAACUUUUGCUAACUAUGUCCCCAUAAAGUAGUCAAAGGAUUUAUGGUAAUAUUUCUAAGCAUACUUAGAUAAUAAUAUUUUUUAAAAGUAAAAGUGUGAAUAAACGGAAAGGCAUUGAGUUCUUAAAGUAUUCCACUUGUGUCACACAUUGUCACUCCAGAGUUCAGAAGACACUUUGCCAUGGGACUUGUCUUCACUCCAUGUCUGGUUGCAAGAACAAUCAUUGAAAAACUGACUCUCUUUAGUCUGAAAACCAGAAGGUCUCAGUUAAUGAAACAUUGCACAUUUUGAAAUUUAGUUCUUGGGGGACUUCUCCAUGUGUCUCUUAUUUAAUAUACAAUAGUACUUUAAAAAAAAACUUAUACUGGAUUUUGACAAAUCUUUCAAUGUUUCC